AUUAUGUACUACAUGAAAUAUAAAGAAUACAACAACCUAUCACGAUAUAUGUACGUAUAUUUUUCUACCUGUGCAGGACGAUGAAAGGCAAUCGAUUAGCGUAGAUGCGUAGUGAAUAUUGCGCGUGCACCAGCGAUACUGUUGUUUCUCGCAGUGUGAAUCGAAGAAGAAAUCAUCGGCAUCAAGGCAAACAACUCACGGAGGAAAAUUAAAUGAACAAUACGCGGCUUGCGUACUCCCUAAUCGUUGAAGCUUGACUUUGAUGUCACGGCGGAAGAUACUGAAGACAUAGCUUUCUGUCGCGUUAAUUUUUCUCACGCGAGAGUAAGGCCAGGUGGGAUGAUAUGGACAUUGCAAUGGACUUUAUCAGCUUCGUAGAUGAAUUACACAUGUUGCAGCGACUUCUUCGUAAUCACCACAGAUUUCUUUACAGGAGAGACCAGUUGUGCUUGCCAGUGCAAGCAGCAGGCGAGAUAUCGUACUGGGCGAUAAGAAAAUUGUUCUGACGUCAUUACAAGAUCCGCCUUCGUGCUGAUUGCGUCGUUGCACUUGGCUCAUUCGACGAGAAAGCGAACGGAGAUAGUCACGGAAUGAGUGAAAGUACAAUGAAAUAAGACCGCUGUCAAAAUUCACAUGCGAGGUGAAAGCACACCGCGCUUCGACAAGACCAAUCGGAAUCGCGGAGGAGAGGCCCUCGAUAUUAUCGACAUGCGCGCCGGAUAGCAGUUUUGCAAUUAAUUAAAUCAAUAGAUACUCUUUGAAGAGACAAGAAGCGGAAGUUGACACGCGACCAAAGUACGAAGAUUCUUAUGACGUCUUGGAAGAUAACGAUCCGUAGUUGCGUCACAUCCGCAAACAUUCGAAGAACUUUGGAAGAUUUCGUAUCGUGGUAUGUGUCACACGUCAAAAAUUCCCUCAAGAUACUUGAACACACAGCGUCUCCGCAAUGGAAUACAACAACAUUAUUCAUCCGUUUACGUAAUUAGAGUUUUCUAUGUAACGCGGAAUCAUUCGUCUUAAUUGAUGUUACUAAGCUGAGAUUAAAUAGCCGUAAUAUGGAUACGCUAAAACUUAAACUUCUGACAGAAGAUCGGAAAACUACCAUGUUAUUAUUUCGUCCUUUUCAGUUAACCGGGAAAUUAUUGGCACUUUAUCUCUUCGACUUCGUCGCCUUCUCGGCUUCUAAUCUUUGUUAAUUUCCCGGAUCGUCUACACGCAUUAACUACGUCACUUGUGACAUCUUAACGAUGUAAUAGCUGUCACAGCAGACGUCACAGCAUUGAUAAACGUAAGUUUUUACGCACAUCAUCUUCCUCAACGUUUGAAAAUGGUUUUUCCUUUUGUACAUGUACAUAGGUAGAUUAAGCAAUAUAUUAUUAAUAAAUGUGAGAAAGACAUCCGCGUUAAUUAUAUUUAUUAUAUAUACUGUGACAUUAUGAAAAAUCUAAUUACGAGACCAAGAGAUUAUAACAGAUAGAUGCAUGAUUAUAUUGACCAUUGAGCCAUUGAGGUCGUUCGAAUUGUGUAAUAUGAUAUGCAUAACUGCAUACGUAGUGUAAUAUAAUUAACGCGUUACUAAUUUUAGUAUAUAAAAACAAGUGCUCUUCGUUAUCUUAAGGAAAUACGUUCAAGAUGAUCCAUGUUUAAUUCAAGUACGAUUCAUUUAUUGAUAUCGUCGUGUAUUUUUGAAUGUAAAAGAUACUUAUUGUCAGGUGCUAUUGCUGAACCUUUUUAAUUUAAGAAAAUAGUAAAAGUAAUAGAAGAAGUCCAAUGUAUCUCUCUCUAAAGAAUGUAACAAUAUUUAUAUUUGAAAUGCCUUAAAAUUUCCCCUUUUCUCUGUAGAAAUCUCUAUCUUUCACCAAGCCGAAAACUCGCGCAACUUUCCGCGAUGAUUUGUCUGUCGACAGUCUCCUGAUCCAGUGCAGAACAAAACUGGACGUAUGUAAUAAAAGAAGUCUAAUACGUCUCUCUCUAAAGAAUGUAACAAUAUUCAUGUCUAUUUCAAGUAUUUAAAAAAUUCCCCCUUUUUUUCUUUGUGGAAAUCCCCAGUUUUUCAUAAACUCGCGCAACUUUCCGCGAUCAUUUAUCUGUCGACAGUCUCCUGAUCCAGUUCCGAACGAGACUGGGUGUAUGUAAUAAGAGAAGUCUAAUGCGUCUCUCCCUCUCUAAAGAAUAUAACAAUAUUCUUAUCAAUUUAAAAUACUUCAAAAUUUUCCGUUCUUUCUCCGCGGAAAUCCCCAUCAUGCACUUUGUAAGCCGAAAACUCGCGCAAAUUUCCGCGAUCGUUUAUCUGCCGACAGUUUCCUGAUCCAGUGCUGAAAAAAACUGGACGUACGUACAGAUAUAACCGCAUUAUCUCAUCGGACGGCACUUGCCGUCCGGCGCGGCGCGGCGGUGCGGUGCGAAAUGAACGUGCAUAUCCGCGCACAACGCAUGGUCGGUAUCAUGCGGCGCGCUCGGCGAACGUGCACGCGGAAAGUUUAAGCGUGCGGACGCGUGUGCGUCGCACGCGUACACGAGCGGCAGCGAGAAGCGCACACUUUGCACGUGUGCGCGCUUUCUCGCACACGCGAGCGCGCACGCGUGCGCGCGCGCGCGCCCGCAAAUCGUUCUUUCCUUCUGUCAGUGAAGACCGACGACCUUGGCCUCGUGACCAUGAGCGCCGGUUGAUUAUAUUAGCGCGAGAGCGCUACGGUAUUUCAUACUUCCCUUAUAUAUUCGCAUUCAUGGGCUUUCUCCAUAUGAUGGGGAAUUUUCUAACAAUAAGGUGAAAGGUCAGGCAAAAGUGCCGGAUUAAAAAAGCUCUUGAGAAAUAACACCGCAACUGAAUUUCUCGUUAACUAGUGUUAAUAAUUAAUUCCUUGAUAUCGGUAAUACAUUGGCCACAGGGGAUUUUUUACGGAAUAUUUUGUACCUGAGAAAUA
This is a long non-coding RNA of Vollenhovia emeryi, 2924 nucleotides long. RefSeq lists it as uncharacterized. The transcript is spliced from 5 exons. Lineage: Eukaryota; Metazoa; Arthropoda; Insecta; Hymenoptera; Formicidae. The record is from RefSeq and is a predicted model, not a curated record.